GCAGCCGUGGUCUAAUGGCAUGAUUGGGCCUUCCCAAGGCUCUGACCCGGGUUCGAUUCCCGGCGGCUGCA
Molecule: transfer RNA, 71 nt
Filed under: Candidatus Diapherotrites archaeon CG08_land_8_20_14_0_20_34_12
Lineage: Archaea; Nanobdellati; Candidatus Iainarchaeota
Description: tRNA-Gly
Rfam family: tRNA
About the family: Transfer RNA (tRNA) molecules are approximately 80 nucleotides in length. Their secondary structure includes four short double-helical elements and three loops (D, anti-codon, and T loops). Further hydrogen bonds mediate the characteristic L-shaped molecular structure. tRNAs have two regions of fundamental functional importance: the anti-codon, which is responsible for specific mRNA codon recognition, and the 3' end, to which the tRNAs corresponding amino acid is attached (by aminoacyl-tRNA synthetases). tRNAs cope with the degeneracy of the genetic code in two manners: having more than one tRNA (with a specific anti-codon) for a particular amino acid; and 'wobble' base-pairing, i.e. permitting non-standard base-pairing at the 3rd anti-codon position.
Source: RNAcentral